Molecule: long non-coding RNA, 523 nt
Organism: Heterocephalus glaber (naked mole-rat)
Lineage: Eukaryota; Metazoa; Chordata; Mammalia; Rodentia; Bathyergidae
Source: Ensembl
CAAGAUGUGAGGAGUUUUCCCCUGCUAUGCCCCUCUGCCAUGCUAUUCUUGCCCUGGAACCAGUUGAUCAUGAACUGUAACUGUGAGCCAAAAUAAACCUGUCAUGUAUGUUGAAGAUGUUGGAUAUUGUGUCUCAGCAAUGAGGAAAGUACCAAGACAAGCCUCAAAGAUGAGAAAUUCAGGACUGUAGCCGUUGGUUUAUCAGGAACGCUGAGCGUAGUAAACUCUUGAGGAAAGGAACUCAAGUGGAUGAAUUAUAUUGCUCCUCAUGGAAAAGAUGAAAAACUUCUUCCUGGCUAUCCUGGCUACUGGUUAUCUCUCAUAUGUUUUGGGUAAGCAAGUAUUUAAGAGCAUUGAAUCAUACUCUUACAAUUCAACAUGGAGGAAUGUGCAGCAAACCCCCCAAAUCUUGAAUAUUUCUUCAUUUAUCACGAGUGAGACCAUUUGAACUAAGCAUCGUCUUUCCUUCAUAAAGCAGAAUUUAUUGUAUUGUCUUAUUUUUUCUAAUCAAUAAAUAUUACCC